Non-coding RNA from Podarcis muralis (Common wall lizard), 903 nucleotides. The record is from RefSeq and is a predicted model, not a curated record. NCBI's taxonomy places the organism in Eukaryota, Metazoa, Chordata, Lepidosauria, Squamata, Lacertidae.
GCUACUUCCCAGUAGCUCACCAAAAGCGACAUGCGUUGCCCUAACAGAGAGAUCUAAAUGAGAUUGGAAAGAUCGUCUUAAUUAGCUUCAAAAUCCUGCUAAUUAGAGGCCUCGCUACAUUAAAACACUGCUUCAGUGACCAGACCGGGUCACAGCUACAAAUGAACCCUGAUGAAGAAAAAAGUGCUUUGCUACGGCAAGCAGCUGGAUCCAAUCCACCUCCAGGGCUUUGUGAAGGGAAAGGAUGUUUUAAGUUUGACUUCAGUGUCUCCUGAGGAUAACUUGGGACUCCCCCUUGCCAGCACAUGUGACAUUAGGGCCCCCACAGCCUUUCAGCCUAAGGCCUUCAAGACAGGUUUCAUUGCCACCACAACAAGUCAUGUCCCCUUAAAGGGAACAGGAAAAGACAGAUGUGCUGGAAAGCAAGACUUUGUGUGUGUGUGUAGAAGGCCUAGACUGGACAGAUCAACUCAUCCUUUUGACAGACAGAACAUUCGUCUUAGGCUUCUGUCACUGUGCAGGAGCAGCGAGUGUGGUGGGGAAGAGCAGUGAAGCCACUGCUGUCGCAGUCUACCUGGAUGUGGAUGGAUCGGGCAGAGCAGUGAUGACAUCAGGCCUGCACAGGUGUGACGGCAGAGGCAGCCAGGCACUCCCACUGCUGCAUUUGAGCAUCCCUGACCUCACCACGACCCCAUACCUUCCAGCAAGAGUGGCAGAUGCAGGACGAAGCAAGAAUUGAAGGGGGAAGCCCUGGGAACAGAACAAGAUGAGAGUUCCUGCAAGGAUGCUUGGUGCCAGACAGCUUGUUUCCAGAAAUUUGUUUGUUGUUGUUCUGCUGCUGCUGCUGCUGCUGUUAACAUUUGAUACCAUCAUUUUUCUUCAUGUCAUAUUCUUUGAGCACCA